GCGUGAGUGAUGAAGGCCUUCGGGUUGUAAAGCUCUUUCACCGAUGACGAUAAUGACGGUAGUCGGAGAAGAAGCCCCGGCUAACUCCGUGCCAGCAGCCGCGGUAAUACGGAGGGGGCUAGCGUUGUUCGGAAUCACUGGGCGUAAAGCGUACGUAGGCGGAUUGCCAAGUUGGAGGUGAAAGCCCAGGGCUUAACCCUGGAACUGCCUUCAAAACUGGCGAUCUAGAGGAUGGUAGAGGUGAGUGGAAUUCCGAGUGUAGAGGUGAAAUUCGU
This 275-nucleotide ribosomal RNA is filed under the name uncultured bacterium. Its description in RNAcentral is "partial 16S ribosomal RNA". It matches the Rfam family "Bacterial small subunit ribosomal RNA", at positions 399 to 691 of the family's 1533-position model. The record is from RNAcentral.